Molecule: ribosomal RNA, 446 nt
Filed under: uncultured bacterium
Lineage: Bacteria
Description: partial 16S ribosomal RNA
Rfam family: Bacterial small subunit ribosomal RNA
Source: RNAcentral
CCUACGGGUGGCAGCAGUCGAGAAUCAUUCACAAUGGGGGAAACCCUGAUGGUGCGACGCCGCGUGGGGGAAUGAAGGUCUUCGGAUUGUAAACCCCUGUCAUGUGGGAGCAAAUUAAAAAGAUAGUACCACAAGAGGAAGAGACGGCUAACGCUGCGCCAGCAGCCGCGGUAAUACGGAGGUCUCAAGCGUUGUUCGGAUUCACUGGGCGUAAAGUGUGCGUAGGCGGUUUCGUAAGUCGUGUGUGAAAGGCGCGGGCUCAACCCGAGGACGGCACAUGAUACUGCGAGACUAGAGUAAUGGAGAGGGAGCCGGAAUUCUCGGUGUAGCAGUGAAAUGCGUAGAUAUCAAGAGGAACACUCGUGGCGAAGGCGGGUUCCUGGACAUUAACUGACGCUGAGGCACGAAGGCCUGGGGAGCGAAAAGGAUUAGAUACCCUGGUAGUC